This 200-nucleotide unclassified non-coding RNA is filed under the name soil metagenome. Its description in RNAcentral is "partial contains internal transcribed spacer 2 and large subunit ribosomal RNA". The record is from RNAcentral.
GUUGCUUGAAAUGCAGGUGCAGCUGGGCAUUCUUCUGAGCUAAAAGCAUAUUAUUUAGUCCCGUCAAACGGAUUAUUAUUCUUGCUUCAGCUUACAUAAAGGUUGAAUGACUACCGAGGCUGAUUGCAGGUAAACUCGUUCCGUUAAAAAGAGCUUGUGAACUCGAUCUCAAAUCAAGUAAGACUACCCGCUGAACUUAA